GGAAACGGGUUAAUAUUCCCGUACUUCUUACAAUUGCGAUGGGGGGACGGAGAAGGCUAGGUGGGCCUGGCGACGGUUGUCCAGGUUCAAGUGCGUAGGCUUAAGAGUUAGGUAAAUCCGGCUCUUUUUAAGGCUGAGACACGACGUCGAGCACCUACGGGUGUGAAGUCAUUGAUGCCAUGCUUCCAGGAAAAGCCUCUAAGCUUCAGAUUGUAAGGAAUCGUACCCCAAACCGACACAGGUGGUCGGGUAG
RNAcentral lists this ribosomal RNA (253 nucleotides) under Vibrio parahaemolyticus. Its description in RNAcentral is "partial 23S ribosomal RNA". It matches the Rfam family "Bacterial large subunit ribosomal RNA", at positions 1421 to 1674 of the family's 2925-position model. Lineage: Bacteria; Pseudomonadati; Pseudomonadota; Gammaproteobacteria; Vibrionales; Vibrionaceae. The record is from RNAcentral.